ACUGUUGUCUUUUUUUCUGGAAAGAAAGACAGUUUUCUGAAAUGGAUAAAGUUGCUUUUCUUUCUCAAUGGUUCAUAAACAUGGGACCAUUAACAGACUUCUUGUCAGAUUUAUUCCCACUCAGUCACAACCCACCAGUUGUGGGUAACCAGCAUGUACGGGUGAUCCAAGAAGGCAGAAGCCAAGCUCCUUCCCUGCAGAGCACUCUUCAAGCUCACUGCAGGGCUCACAGUGAGUAGUGGCACUAAUGCACACAUCACAGGCUCAGGGCCUCGGGUACCAACACUAGUGAUAUUGCAUUAGGGUGGUGCCAGCUAACUAUGAACUCCUAGAGAAAUACUUAAAUAUGGCUGAAGACUGAAGCCAAUAUGGAAGGCAGGAAAGACUUAGAAUAAGCCAUCUUUGGUAGUACAAAAGAAGCUGAGUUCCAGUGAAGGAUGGGUGGGAUGCAGAUGUCAAGCUGUACAAACUGAGGUGAUGUAGUAUUUUUGUAGUUAGCAUCAGGGAAGACUUCCUGAAGGACAAAAACUGGUGGGAAAGAGAAUUCUUGGUUCAUGGGGAUCCUAAGUAAAAAUAUGUCAGGAUGAAAAAGACUGAUUUUCAGUAUACUGAAGAAUAGUAGAACACUGAUGAAGGAUGAUGAGCCUAGGACGUGGCAAAAAUGAAAGCUAUCAGAACAAGGGAAGGCAGGCAUUAUUGAAAAGGUUUACUGCUGCUAGGUAGCAGAGAUUCAUUGAAAAAGUGGACUCUGAGGAGAAGCAGACAGAUUUGAGUUGCCAUAAAACAAUCACACAAUCAACUUUGCAGCUAAAGGACAUAAAAGGGCUGAGAUGCAGCAAGAAAUUAAAGUGGAAGGUAUCUGUUCUGAAGUGUAAAACAGACAGGAUUUGAAUUAGACCAAGGGCUGCAGGCACACACAGGACAAAGCAGAAGACAUAAUAAUUAGUGACUCAGUGAUCUGUUGAAGGAAGGAGCACUAAUCACCCUGGCAGACUCGGCCGCGGAAGGAGAAAAUUUUAAGAGGGAAUAAAGUUCCAUUUGGGGUCUCUGAUUUCUGCUGCUUUAGAAAACCAUAUACAGACAGUCAGCAGAUUAUCGCAUAUACUGGUUUUAAACAAAAAUAGAAAAACAAAUGUUAGGUAUAAUAGAAUGUAAAUUAUAAGUAAUGUGAAAAGUAGCUGAUAUAGCAAGAGAUUAUACAAUGGUUGCCCAAGACAGACCCAACAUAAAUCCCUUAUUUUGAGGGAUAGUUAAACAAAACAAAAUAAAACAAGCAAACAAAAAAAACUCAAGCAAACACAAAAUCCCAGCCCAAAGGGAAGUUAAAAGAGCACUGGGUGCUGGAAAGUGAGGCCCCAAGUUCAGUUCCCAUCACUCAUGUUGCACAGUGCCUAUAACUGCAGACCCAGGAGAUCAGCACCCUCUUCUGGUCUCUGCAGGCACCUGCAAACAUGUGGCAAUUACACACACACACACACACACACACACACACACGCAUGCACGAAGACACACCUUUUUUUAGUAUUGGAUGCUAAAAGCCAGAAGAAAGCAUUUUGUAUCACAUCAUGAUACACAGCACAGGCUGCUGAGAAUGCAGGAGGCAGGCAGUCUGAGAAGUAAGCUGAGAUGAUACAUCACUUCUCCAAGAGGUUGACAUGAAGGCCAGGAGAGUCUCAGAAUGUUAAGGUACAGGGGCCUUCAAAGAAGUUAAUUCCAAUAUGGAAAUUAAACUUUUAUUAUUAAUUCAAAGAGAACAAUCCAGCUUAUAGGUAAGAUUAAAAAAAACAAAUGGACAAUUUCAUGAUAUUAAUAAGAUCACUGUUUGUAUGCCAAGUGAUUAAUGUCUAAGAAAAACAUAGCAAUGAUGAGACUUAGAAGGAUGGGCUCCAACUUCUGCUACUUAGCACAGUUUUGAUCCCGAGCAACUCACUUGGCAGCUCUGUUCUCAAUUUCCCCUCAACACAAAGGUGGCAAUAGCACAGCUUCUAUCAUAGGCCCCGUGAGAACUUAAUAAGCAUAGCAUACACAGAGCGUACAUAUAACACAGCACUGGCUUAUAGACAGUUCAGAAACUUGUCUUCAUGGAAGAUCUCGGGUAAAAACUACAGUGUUUCAAUAACUUAAGAUACCCAUUUCAACUGGGCCUCGUGUUGUAGGCCUGGCAGUGCCCAUUGGGGAAGCUGAGGUAGUAGGUCACAGCGGCAUGAUGGGCUACAUUUAGAGACCUUAUCUCAAGCAAAUAAAACAGAAGGCCACUGCUUUUUCCAGCUCUGGGGUCAAACCCACUGCCCUGUCUACCCAUUCACUCCUCCUAGCUCCACCCCUCUCCCCCAGCACCGCACUGUUCAAUGGCAGAAAUGGUUACCCAGUUACGACAAGUACUGAUGGAAUGCUGGCAGAACCGGUUCAUGAUUCCCUUCAAUAAAUAGGCUACUAUUUGUCCACACAGAUGUAAAAGCACUGACAAUGAACAGAUUAUAAAACGCACAUAUACAUAUAAUACAACUCAGAAAGGGAAAAAGCAAGGGCUCAGUUGUAACUUCCAAUUGGAAGGAAUCCUCCUCUUCAGUGGCACUGAGAUACACCUCUCAUUAAUUUCUGUAACCAAGUGCACACUGCAGAGACUUGCUAAUCUCUGUGUCAAAAUGAAUUAAACAUAACUCUGAAUAGUAAUGUGUUAUAAUGUUGUCUCCCUUUUGAAUUUACAUGUGCAGUAGUCUUUAACGAUACAGUAUAUAAUUCUUCCAGCCAAUCCAGAGACAAAAAGAUUCAAUUAUUCCACAGAUCUAUAACCAGCUACUUAUUUCCCUUAUAUAUCAGAAUUUCAUUACUGUUACAACAGAAACAAAGUCAGCAUACAGUAAAAGAUCUUAUGAUCGAUAAUGUGCCCAGGGAAUUGAGGGAAAUGCAUAAAAAUACAUUAAAUUCCAUUACAUGGUGUCUCACUACUGAGAGGAGGGCUGUCACCUUUUAUACCAAACAAGAGCCCUUUCAUUUCCUUUAACAGGGGAAACAAACAUCCGUAAAGCUAGCUUUAAAGCAAAACGAUGAAAAUGUAGAUCCACAAUUAAGGCAGGAGUAAAUGAACUGAAUUAAUAUCAGGUCUGCAAGUUGGUAGAUGGAGUAAUUGUUCACCGGGUCCAAAUUUACAUUCAGAAAUGUCACACACAUUUUAAUUUAGUGGUACCACACCUAGGAAAAGAAAAAAAAAAAAGAAAGAAAAAAAAACAAAACUUCUUUUAAGUCUAUUAAGACUAUGUCAACGGCAAAUGAGUGUGCAGUCAUAUCUCAUAUUCAUCCCUGUUAUCUUCAUUAUCUCUCUCCCUUCCUCUAAGUGAGUCACCAGGCAGUCACAAAUACCAGAAAGCACAAAACUGAAACUCGUCAUUGAAAAUAGUUAACAGAUAUUAAGCAAUUAAGACAACAUUCAAAUUUUUACUUUUAAAAAUUAUUAAUUUGUGGCAUCAAGGUGGGAGAGGAACCCACCUUUUCUGUUGCUCAGUAAAUUCUCAUUAUCACUAUAUGUAAUUAUAGUGACUGUGUAUAUAUUAAAGAUUAUUCCUACAUAAAACAUUAAUAGCAAUAAUCCAGGAGGGAGUAGAGUACAAUAACUGAGUAUCACAAUUCUUGUACCGAAGCACUGAAAACAAGUGUCAUGUUAAAGGUGAAACAAUACUCUCAGGAAACCACAUAUAAAACCCAUCUCAUGCAAUUGUGUUACAUCACGUGACAAGUUAGUAGCUAUUCCAGAAGCUGACAAUGUUGUUUCUCAAUUAGUAAGAAGUCAAAAUAGUGAGAAAAAAAAAAUCAGUCACAGGGAAGCAGCUAAACUGCAUCAUGCUGUUUGAUGGAGAUAAUAUGACUCCCUGUGUUGAAAUGAAAGGUCACGUAGUAAGGUAGAGAUGGUGUCUUUGUUACCCUUCCCCCAAAUCUGGCAUUGGAACAGUGAACACAAAGAAAUGAAGGAGUUACCCCCAACUCAGGGCUGAGCUCUGGGUUUGUACCAAUCACAGUCUAGCUACCACUGCUGGUUGGGUUAGACCCUUACAAAGGCGUGAUUAUUUGCUUGAGCCAACAACAACCUGGGCUCGACGUGCAAAGAAAAGCAGAUUUUAAAUAACUUGGUAUGAAUUGAACACCUGAGGCGACUGUCACGUAUAAUCUAUACAGGCCACCACUGCCACUAAACUUGUACAUUCCAGUACAUUCACUUCGCCCCUCUUCACAAGAUGGCACUGAGCCACCUGAAACAAUGUGUUUUUAAAAAUGCGAACUUGUAUGCCAACUACACAUCCCUCACUUAGCUGGCAAAAGAUAAUCAUAAAGGACAACUCUGCACUAUGAUCGCUAAACCCGGACCCUUUCCUUGGUCUUGUUUUUCUGCUGGAGUCUUUCCUAUGUAAACUGCUGAGGUAAAGGUACAGCCAGCCCGGUCCCAAGUUCAUUUCCUAAGUGAACCCCGCAGCUCCACCAAACACACAGGCUUCCCUUUCUGAGGUCAGGAAGUGGGAUGUCCCCACGGAAGGAGCAACAAACAAGCGGGAGAAAGCAACAAGACAUCCAUCAAGUCUCCAAGUCUAACGACACCCGAGAGCCAGCGCUGCUCGGCCUCCUCGGAGGGCUCACAAUCCCUCUGAAAGGGGGGGAAAGAGAGCGGAGGAGAAAACGAGGGUGAGCGUCUACCUCAAAGCCCAGAAAUACUGCUGUUGUGUAUAUACUGAAAGGAUGCUCAAUCAUACCACAAGGACAUGUGCUCAACUAUGUUCAUAGAAGCACUAUUUAUAAUAGCCAGAGCCUGAAAACGACCUACAUAUCCCUCAACCAAGAAUUGGAUAAAGAAAAUGUGUUGAAAUUUAAGCUGUUUCGAGAUGGAGACAGAGACCCACACUAGAGCACCGGACUGAGCUCCCAAUGUCCCAAGGAGGAGCAGAAGGAGGGAAAAUAUGAGCAAAGAAGUCAGGACCACGAGGGGUGCACCCACCCACGGAGACAGUGGGGCUGAUCUAUUGUGAGCUCACCAAGGCCAGCUGGACUGCGACUGAAAAAGCAUGGGAUAAAACCGGACUCUCUGAAUAUGGCGGACAAUGAGGGCUGCUGAGAAGCCAAGGACAAUGCCACUGGGUUUUGAUCCUACUUCAUGUUCUGGCUUUGUGGGAGCCUAGCCAGUUUGGAUGUCCACCUUCCUAGACCAGGAUGGAGCGGGGAGGACUUUGGACUUUCUACAGGGCAGGGAACCCUGACUGCUCUUUGGA
Molecule: long non-coding RNA, 5252 nt
Organism: Alexandromys fortis (reed vole)
Lineage: Eukaryota; Metazoa; Chordata; Mammalia; Rodentia; Cricetidae
Exons: 3
Source: RefSeq, a predicted model, not a curated record